RNAcentral lists this small RNA (24 nucleotides) under Arabidopsis thaliana (thale cress). RNAcentral describes it as "ATSL119420". The record is from RNAcentral. Lineage: Eukaryota; Viridiplantae; Streptophyta; Magnoliopsida; Brassicales; Brassicaceae.
AAAAAAUUAAAAAAAAAUGAAAAA